Molecule: ribosomal RNA, 274 nt
Filed under: uncultured bacterium
Lineage: Bacteria
Description: partial 16S ribosomal RNA
Rfam family: Bacterial small subunit ribosomal RNA
Source: RNAcentral
AUACGGAGGGUGCAAGCGUUGUUCGGAAUCACUGGGCGUAAAGGGCGCGCAGGCGGUUUGGUAAGUCAGAUGUGAAAGCCCACGGCUCAACCGUGGAAGUGCAUUUGAAACUGCCGGACUUGAGUACCAGAGGGGAAAGUGGAAUUCCCGGUGUAGAGGUGAAAUUCGUAGAUAUCGGGAGGAAUACCGGUGGCGAAGGCGACUUUCUGGCUGGAUACUGACGCUGAGGCGCGAAAGCGUGGGGAGCAAACAGGAUUAGAUACCCCAGUAGUCC